RNA transcript from Panthera uncia (snow leopard), 2980 nucleotides. It is a transcript of the gene named M-phase phosphoprotein 8, with no coding region annotated. The record is from RefSeq and is a predicted model, not a curated record. Lineage: Eukaryota; Metazoa; Chordata; Mammalia; Carnivora; Felidae. The transcript has 14 exons.
CGCGUCACGCUGCCCGAGUGGAUUACAGCCGAGUGCGGAGCGCGAGGAACCGCCAGGGUGUGUGUCGCAGCCGCUCGUCUUCGGCGGUUUGCUAGGCUCCUAUUAUGGCGGCGGCGGCUGCGGCGGUUGCGGAGGAGGCGAGCGUGACCGCAGCUGUUUCAGGUGCCGACAGCAAUGGUGAGUCUCCUGAAGUCGAAGGAGAAGGUGUUGGAGCAGUGGGCCAAGAGAAGGACGCAGCCACGAAAGGAGCGGAGGCCGUUGGAGACAGCGAGGAGGACGGGGAGGAUGUGUUCGAGGUGGAAAAGAUACUGGACAUGAAGACGGAGGGGGGUAAAAUCCUUUACAAAGUUCGAUGGAAAGGGUACACAUCAGAUGAUGAUACUUGGGAGCCUGAGAUUCAUCUUGAGGACUGUAAAGAAGUUCUUCUCGAAUUUAGGAAGAAAGUUGUGGAGAACAAAGCUAAGCCAGUCAAGAAGGAUAUUCAGGUAUCAAAUAAACUGUCCUUAAAUAAUGACAUAUUUGAGGCAAAUUCUGAUAGUGAUCAGCAAAGUGAGACAAAAGAAGAUACUUCUCCAAAGAAGAAAAAGAAAAAAUUGAGGCAUAGAGAAGAGAAAAGCCCAGAUGAUCUGAAAAAGAAAAAAGCAAAGACUGGGAAACUAAAAGAUAAAUCCAAACCAGACCUGGAGAGCUCUUCUGAAAGUUUAGUUUUUGAUCUAAGGACAAAGAAAAGAAUUUCGGAAGCCAAAGAAGAAAUAAAGGAAUCCAAAAAGCCCAAAAAAGAGGACACAAAAGAAACUAAGGACUUAAAGAAAGUUAAAAAGGGUGAAGGAAGAGAUUUCAAGGCUAAAAUAAGAGAAGAUUCCAAAGAAAACAGAAAAACAAAAAAAGAGAAAUGUGUUGAAUCUCAGUUGGAAUCUGAAUCAAGUGUACUUAAUGACUCCCCUUCUCAAGAAGAUGACAAUGAAGAUUUUCAUUCUGACAACAGAGAAGAGAAACAGAAGAUUAAAAGUGCAAAAGACAAAGCAGGGCAAGAUGCAAUUCAGGAUGUUUUUGAUAAACAGCCAGAUGGCUCCGUGAGUGCCGAUGAAGAUGCUGAUGUCAAAGCAAAGAGAAAAAGGAAAAAACUGAGAAAGACUGAGGAACUCAGAGAGAGCAAAACACUAGAAAACAGGAACCUUUUCCUAGAGAAGAAACCUAUACAUAAGAAGCAAAGGAGUCAGGACAGAGGCAGAAGCACCACAGAGUUAGAUAAGCUGAUACCUGCACCUGCCCAGACACAGAAGAGUUCAAGAGCAGGUGUGGAAGAGAGAGGCCUCAGGUCUACUGACUCAGCUGGGGAGGAGAAAGAGAUUAAAAAAAAUGAACCCAAAGAAAAAUACCAGAAAAGGCAGGAUUUGGACAAGGAAGAAAAAGGUCGUAAAGAGCCAAGGGGAUUAAAGACAUUUAAGGAAAUCAGAAAUGCAUUUGAUUUAUUUAAAUUAACUCCAGAAGAAAAAAAUGAUUUUCCUGAGACUAAUCGGAAAAAAGAAGAAAUACCACUAGAUUAUAAAAUCACAGAAGAUCACAAAACCAAGGAAAACAAGCAGUUACUUAAAGAAAGGAGAAAUACAAGAGAUGAAACUGAUACUUGGGCAUAUAUAGCUGCAGAAGGUGAUCAAGAGGUUCUGGAUAGUAUGAGCCAAGCAGAUGAGAAUUCUGAUGGCAGACAACAGAUUUUGAGUUUGGGCAUGGACUUGAAGUUGGAGUGGAUGAAAUUAGAAGACUUUCAAAAGCAUCUUGAUGGGGAAGAUGAGAGUUUUACUACAGCAGAUGCAAUUCCGAGUAAUUUAUUGAGGGAUGCUGUGAAAAAUGGGGAUUACAUUGCUGUGAAGGUUGCACUUAAUUCAAAUGAAGACUAUAACCUGGACCAAGAGGAUUCAAGCGGGAUGACACUGGUGAUGCUCGCCGCAGCCGGAGGGCAAGACGACCUGCUGAGGCUCCUCAUCAGGAAAGGGGCUAAGGUGAAUGGCAGACAGAAGAAUGGGACCACCGCCCUCAUUCACGCAGCCGAGAAGAAUUUCCUAACUACAGUGGCUAUUCUUUUGGAAGCAGGAGCUUUUGUAAAUGUCCAGCAGAGUAACGGUGAGACUGCUCUAAUGAAGGCCUGUAAAAGAGGAAAUUCUGAUAUCGUACGACUUGUAAUUGAAUGUGGAGCUGACUGCAAUAUUUUGUCAAAGCACCAAAAUAGCGCCCUGCAUUUUGCGAAGCAGUGUAACAACGUGUUGGUGUACGACUUGCUGAAGAGUCACUUAGAGACACUUUCAAGAGUAGCAGAAGAAACAAUAAGGGACUACUUUGAGGCACGUCUUGCUCUGUUAGAACCAAUCUUCCCAAUAGCAUGUCACCGUCUCUGUGAGGGGCCAGAUUUUUCAACGGAUUUCAAUUAUAAACCCCCACAGAACAUACCAGAAGGCUCUGGCAUCCUGCUGUUUAUUUUCCAUGCAAACUUCUUGGGUAAAGAAGUAAUUGCUCGGCUCUGUGGACCGUGUAGUGUGCAAGCUGUAGUGUUAAAUGAUAAAUUUCAACUUCCGGUUUUUCUGGAUAGCCAUUUUGUUUACUCGUUCAGCCCUGCUACAGGCCUCAAUAAACUCUUCAUAAGGUUGACGGAAGCGCCUUCUGCCAAGGUGACAAUCCUUUCCUCACAUUAGUGCAACUACUCACAUUGCUAUUCCAGCAGCAAGCCCAAUGUGGGGCUCGGUCUCACGAACCGGGAGAUCACGACCUGAGACGAAGUGAAGUUGCUGAUAGGCGCCUACAGAGUGCAGCUGCAGUGACGGAACAGAGUCGGGACGGAGUCCUUUCCAGACCUGUUUCAGGACCCUGGCACAGCUAACACCUCCAGAUUUGAAGUUUCAUCUGUAAACCUCUUGCAGUUUUGGGCUGGGUAUCUGUUACGGGCUGUGAGAUGGGACGUGGCGGUUCUAAUAUAUUCUGAAAUAGA